RNAcentral lists this non-coding RNA (28 nucleotides) under Cricetulus griseus (Chinese hamster). The record is from RNAcentral. Lineage: Eukaryota; Metazoa; Chordata; Mammalia; Rodentia; Cricetidae.
GGAGGAGAAUGGUCUGAAGUAAGUAGCU